AUUUGGUCGACCCUCCUAAUAACUCACAUGAUCAGCCAGCAAGUGCAAGUCCCUCAAGAACACAUGUUGCGCAAUCAUUGAUGCAACACCAUCGAUCAGUUGAUAGAAACAGUCACGCACUACAGCCCUUAUCUUCUGCAAGUUGUGGUAGCUCAAUGGAGGUGGCGCCUUGUAACCCUAGGGGGUCUUCUACUAGUUCUUUGGAUUUUAAGGGCAGGAUGGGUGAGUCAAGUUAUAGCCUUAAGACAUCAACAGAAUUACUCAAGGUACUCAAUCGGAUUUGGAGUCUUGAAGAACAG
Molecule: unclassified non-coding RNA, 299 nt
Filed under: Hevea brasiliensis (rubber tree)
Lineage: Eukaryota; Viridiplantae; Streptophyta; Magnoliopsida; Malpighiales; Euphorbiaceae
Source: RNAcentral